RNAcentral lists this unclassified non-coding RNA (378 nucleotides) under plant metagenome. Its description in RNAcentral is "partial contains 5.8S ribosomal RNA, internal transcribed spacer 2, and large subunit ribosomal RNA". The stretch from base 1 to 105 matches the Rfam family "5.8S ribosomal RNA", at positions 50 to 154 of the family's 154-position model. The record is from RNAcentral.
GAAAUGCGAUAAGUAAUGUGAAUUGCAGAAUUCAGAGAAUCAUCGAAUCUUUGAACGCACCUUGCGCUCCUUGGUAUUCCUUGGAGCAUGCCUGUUUGAGUAUCAUGAAAUCUUCAAAGUAAAUCUUUUGUUAACUCAAUUGGUUUCUACUUUGGUAUUGGAGGUCUUUGCAGCUUCACACCUGCUCCUCUUUGUUCAUUAGCUGGAUCUCAGUGUUAUGCUUGGUUCCACUCGGCGUGAUAAGUUAUCUAUCGCUGAGGACACUGUAAAAGGUGGCCAAGGUAAAUGCAGAUGAACCGCUUCUAAUAGUCCAUUGACUUGGACAAUACUUUUAUGAUCUGAUCUCAAAUCAGGUAGGACUACCCGCUGAACUUAAGC